GUUUGAGAAACGUUUACAAGACCAGCAAUGGAACCUCUAUUACAAGCAACAUUUAGAGCUCCAUCAAAAUUUAAUUUAAUAAAAUUGUGAGGAGGCGACCAAUCUAUUGGGGACUGAUGGGCGUCCGUUUAAGGAUUAGUAGGAAUCUGCUAUGAAGAAAAUUCCUCAAAGUAAGAAAUAGCCGACGAAAUGAUCUGUUGAUGGUUGAGCGUGUGGUUCCUGAAGAUAAUCUCAUUACGGCAUUUCGAAAUACUCCACAAAAGGAAUGCCAUCAGAACCUGAAAAUUGUUAUCCUCUCCAUGAACUUAAGAUCAGAUAGAUGAUAGGAUUUGCAUCCAAUAAUCAGC
RNAcentral lists this unclassified non-coding RNA (347 nucleotides) under Hevea brasiliensis (rubber tree). The record is from RNAcentral. Lineage: Eukaryota; Viridiplantae; Streptophyta; Magnoliopsida; Malpighiales; Euphorbiaceae.